UUCCAGCUGCAAAAACCUAAACGGUGUCUGUUUGUCUGUCUGUCUGUCUGUCUGCCCUGCGCUGGUGGAUUGUCAGCAAAUGCUUAACUUACAGAGGUACAAUGAAUCCUAUCUUCAUCCUUUCUUACCUCGCAGGCGUCAGUCUGUGUGUUGAGGUCAAUCAGUCUCCCUCCAGUCUCAUCACCCGCGCCGGUUAUAAAGUGCAGAUCUUCUGCACCUAUGAUAAGACCGACUACAGGGUGACGCUGUGGUAUCAGCGCCCAGCUGGAGACACGGCCAUGAACCUGCUGGGGUACCUGAGCUACAAAGACGCCGUCAUGGAGGAGACGCACAAGACGGACUUCAACAUCUCUGGAGAUCUGAGCGUGAACACGUUGAAAAACGCCUCUCUUAUGAUCAGUGCUGCAGAGGAGAAGCACAGUGCUUUCUACUUCUGUGCAGCAAGUAAAGCACAAUGA
Non-coding RNA from Poeciliopsis prolifica (blackstripe livebearer), 458 nucleotides. NCBI's taxonomy places the organism in Eukaryota, Metazoa, Chordata, Actinopteri, Cyprinodontiformes, Poeciliidae. The record is from the annotation of a RefSeq genome assembly.